Molecule: long non-coding RNA, 4066 nt
Filed under: Pan troglodytes (chimpanzee)
Lineage: Eukaryota; Metazoa; Chordata; Mammalia; Primates; Hominidae
Description: long non-coding RNA NONPTRT008068
Source: RNAcentral
UUUCGGAAUUCUCAGUUCCUGCUGGCCAACCUUAUUCAUUAGAUCAUGGGCUUGGCUCUUGGAGACAGUCAAUGUUUUCUGUAGAGAAUAUUACCCCGCAGUGGCCAGGAAGCAAAUGCCAAUAGAUCUCCAAAAUAUUUGAUCAUACCAAUGGAUUGCCUAGAAUAUCUUGUGGUCUUUCUGUUGCCUUUGAGAGAAUGUCAUGGAAUACCAGGUGGGGGUGGGGCAGGUGAGCUCAGGGUAGCAAGGAUUCUGACAUAGCAAAGGGAAAUUCUGUAUGGGACAGACUCAAAGGUCCCAGAUGCCCUCUCAAAUGAAGAUGGCAAUAUUCCAAAUAUUCAUUGAUCCAGAAGCAUCUCAUGGCAGGUAUAAGAUCUGGGAGAACUCAUCUUAUUCCAUUCCCAGGAAGCAAACAUCCCUUCUUGGGCAAUGUCUCCAGGCCACGCUUCUCAUCCACAGAGCAGGUGCCUGUUCUCCCCGGGUCAUCUGACAGGGGAGAUAGAAAAGCUGCAAGAGAAAGCUCACAGCACGGGGCUGAGCCCUGGAGGGGAAGUACGGAGGCCUGUAUUCUAAUUCACUGAUGAUCAAUUUGCAAGUUCUUUUUCUCUUAGUUCCCUUAGUUUCCUUCCAGGUAAUGCAGAAUUCCUUGAAGCUUCUCUAGGUUGUUUUACUUUGCAAUCUUUGGUUAGAAGGUCUUUCUCAUGUUAACAGGUGAGUUAAGGUAAGAGCCCCAGACUCCUGGGCUUCCCCCAGCCCACUCCAUGACCCCAAAAGAGAUUCCAUUGGGGGAUACAGUUUGAAUCACCUGAACUAGACAAUUAUUACAGCUUCUCUUCCAGGUUGAAUAUUUCAGGGUCCCUUGCCAAACAGGGGAAGAUCUUGUUAAACCAAAAUCCCAAAUAGAUUUCAAAUAUGCCGGAAGUUUACAUGACCCUAAAGACUGCUCUCCAUGAGAGACUCAGGGGCUGGGGUAGUACCUUCUAAAUUUCCAUGGGAAAAUGAACAUGCUCCAGCAAGAGCUUGGGAAAAGAAGAUAGUCCCUAAGUUUUAUUGUUUGAAAUUUGUCACUCAAGGAUGCGAACGUAUCGCUGACAAUUAUGUAGCAUCUCAGAGCUCAGAAAGCACUUUUGCAUCGAUUAUUUCAUUUCUUGUUCGUGCCAGUUGUGUGAGGUGGACAACAUUAUGUUCAUAUGAGAAAUGCAGCCCAGAGAGGCUCAAACCCAGCACUUUUAACUCCCAAUCUCCCUCUUUUCUCAGUACCAUGUGGUAAGUCUUUAUUAACCAGAGUGUCCAAUUAACCAGAACAUGCCUGUGUCUUAGGGAUCAUCCCAGACUGAUUUUCUUUGCAGAAAACCCCAGGGAGCCACAGCCUUUCCUGCACCUCCUUUUGUUAGCUGUAUGUUUUUUUAGGGGCCCAGUGAGGACUGCAUUUCAGAGCCUGUGUUGCAAAGCUCAUUGCUGUGGAGGAGACGGUUAUGGGCUGGGGCCUGGGUCUUCCGCCCCUUCCUGGCAGACCAGGAGCUUCAGUUGCUCUCUGUGAAGUUCUACUUUGCAGGAGCCUGACACAGACGACAGCCCCAGGUGAUCCCUAUUCUUCAAGACCAAGCCAGGGAAAAUCUUCCAGAUGUUCUUGCUACUCACCCCGACCUUGCGGUCUUACCCUUCUGGCUGAACAAGAGACAAACAGCUCCUCUCCACUUGGCUGUGUGCGGCUUAACGAAUGCGUAUGAAGACCGUAUAAAUAAUUCACAUCACUCAAGAGGUGGCGAGCUGAACAAGUCCCUUCUGGUUACAUUUAUUUCAAGAUAAGGUGAAACUAAGUGAGUGAUGGCCCAGUUACAGAGGCCAGGGUCCAAAGGGGAUUGGGACACUCUAAGUUACACCACCAGAGUGAUUUGUGCAGAACUGUGUCAACUUAGAGAUCCUGGCACCUUGGGGGAAAGGGAAAUGUCUUAUCUCUAAGAAAAGUGAUACAGGAUGAGUAUUUUCCAAGUACAGCCUAUAAGCUAAUUCUGCAGAAUCAAUUUGGCUCUGCCAGGAACCAAGUUUCCGCUUUAAUCUAAGAGGAACUCUGAAUUAGUAACCUUGCAAAUGUUGUCUUCCCUUGGAAAUGUCACUAAGGGACUCUUCGAAGCAUGGGUGUGGGUCCUUGGUGUAGGUCCUCUAGGUGCAUGAGGUGGCACUUUCCAGAAGCAUGGGUGAACCUCCCAAGGGAGUCCAGAGUCUUUUAUUGGAAUCAAUGGAUGAGAAAAAUAUUGUUUUGCAACUUGAGUGAAUGUGGCCUCCAAGAUCAAAACCUGGACUAGAAAAGCCUGUGGAGUGGCGCUAGAACGGGGCAAGUGCCCCCUAAAUAUUUCCACUGAAGACUUUUAGAACUUUGGAAUAAGGAAAGUGUAUCUCCAGCUGACAAUAAAAUUUACGAAGCAAAGAAUGCCUCCGUUAAUACUUUCCAAACGUCUUUGUUUUUGAAUGAGCAAGAUGCUGAGAACCUUCCAAUUCAGUAACCCUGCCUCUGACAGGCAGCAGAACAGUUAGCAAGGUUGACAGAUAGAUGCAGCCACACGAUGCAAUAAUCCUUGCUGCACUGAACUUUGUAUUUAAACACUUAUUUUAUGUUUAAUUAAUUUCUCCAAAGAGGAAAACUUCCAGGCUGCCUUUGAAGCCGGCUUUUUGUUUAAGAUAUUUUGUUUUAAGAAUAAGAGAAAAAAAGGAAGGAAGGAAACGGAGGGAAAAUGUUUAUGUUUUUCCUGUUGUUUUUUCAAAUAUGAUGUGACAUUGUGAAGAGGCCUCCUGAAAGUGCAAUUUUUUGUUUGUGAUGGAAGAGAGAUGCACCUAUGAGUCUUACAUCAUCAAAGAAACAGACGCGUAUCUAUAAUUUAUGCUUUGCUUUAAGCUUCUGCUGAUCUGAUGUGGCUUUUUUAAGACAACACAGGCAGCCCUGGCAUCACUUGUCAAUCAUCGGGGCAUGCUCAAAUCGUAGACCAUUAGCAGGAGAGACGGCAGAGUUUCUUUAAUGACGCUUUUAUAUGGGGCAUCCUGGCAGUGAAACAGAGAGGGUUUGAUUUGAUCAAUGCAUUAGCCUAAUCACAGCGUUCCUGCUCUUAAUUUCUUUUGUCGGCAAUUUCCAUACAUGGGUUGCGUUCAGGGUUCUGGCAAAGACCCGUUCAGAACUCCGUGUGACAUGUGCAGUCACCUUGCCCGGAUUUCUCUCGGUGGGAAGCGACGUCUGCAAGAGAGGGGACGGCGGCUGGGCUGGAUGGCUGCCUUUGAGUCCGUCCUGCGGUGAGGCUGGGGAAGGCCCAUUCCACGCGAGCCUUGGCUUCAGCCCUGAGGUGCCUGCCAGCCCCCGUGGCAGACCCCAGCCCUGCCAAUUUCAGCCCCCUUGGUGAUUCUGUUCCAGCGCUCGCCAAAAGCAGAAUCCGUGUAUAAUGAACAAGUUUCAUGUUCAACAUUUUAAGUGUCUAUUUAUGAGUCCCAGUAAUUAGCCCUUUGUCUGCAAUUCUGGCGAUGAUGAUUAGAAUUCCAUCUCACGUUAUGAAUGCUGCUCCCCAAACUUGUCCUUCUCGCCUGGAGAAUCGCAAGCAGGUGGGCACCUGAAAGGCAAAGAAAGGGGGCGAUUUGGGGAGUGGCCGGUCUCUUCUUUUACCAGCCCUCUAGCAGCCUCCUUCCUUUGAUCCCAUUCUUCCCUGGCCGUAUGUAAUUUCAGACUUCUCAGAAUCCAUUUUCCUGGCUUUUGUUCUGAAACUUGUUUUCUUCUCAUCCUCCACUCUCAUCCCCAAAGGGUGCAUUUUUUUAUAUCAUGCCCUACACAUGAUAUUUGUACCUUUUGCAAAAUCUUAUCAGGAUACUAUGAGGUUUAAGAGUCUUUCCAAACGAAUCAUUCUCAGAAUCAAAAUAUUAUGAAGGAGGCCAAAUUAUCUCUAAUUAUAACCUCCAGAAAAGUGGAGAACUUUUUCAACAAACAGAACAGGGGCAAGCAUCUUACAGAAAUAUUUGCAAGAAAAGUAAUAUUCUUUUUUUUUAAAGCGAUCAAAUCAUGUAAGCAUACAAAUAAAUGUAUUUUAAU